CGUGGGAACGUGCCCUUUGCUACGGAAUAGCCCCGGGAAACUGGGAGUAAUACCGUAUGUGCCCCUUGGCCUUGGCGGUCAUGGGGGAAAGAUUUAUCGGCAAAGGAUCGGCCCGCGUUGGAUUAGGUAGUUGGUGGGGUAAUGGCCCACCAAGCCGACGAUCCAUAGCUGGUUUGAGAGGAUGAUCAGCCACACUGGGACUGAGACACGGCCCAGACUCCUACGGGAGGCAGCAGUGGGGAAUCUUAGACAAUGGGGGCAACCCUGAUCUAGCCAUGCCGCGUGAGUGAUGAAGGCCUUAGGGUUGUAAAGCUCUUUCAGCUGGGAAGAUAAUGACGGUACCAGCAGAAGAAGCCCCGGCUAACUCCGUGCCAGC
RNAcentral lists this ribosomal RNA (376 nucleotides) under Rhodobacter sp. RNAcentral describes it as "bacterial SSU rRNA". It matches the Rfam family "Bacterial small subunit ribosomal RNA", at positions 116 to 512 of the family's 1533-position model. The record is from RNAcentral. Lineage: Bacteria; Pseudomonadati; Pseudomonadota; Alphaproteobacteria; Rhodobacterales.